AGUCGAGCGCUCUCCUUUCGGGGAGGGAGCGGCGGACGGGUUAGUAACGCGUGGGAACGUACCCUUUUCUACGGAAUAGCCAUUGGAAACGAUGAGUAAUACCGUAUACGCCCUUUGGGGGAAAGAUUUAUCGGAGAAGGAUCGGCCCGCGUUAGAUUAGAUAGUUGGUGGGGUAACGGCCUACCAAGUCUACGAUCUAUAGCUGGUUUGAGAGGAUGAUCAGCAACACUGGGACUGAGACACGGCCCAGACUCCUACGGGAGGCAGCAGUGGGGAAUCUUAGACAAUGGGCGCAAGCCUGAUCUAGCCAUGCCGCGUGAGUGAAGAAGGCCCUAGGGUCGUAAAGCUCUUUCGCCAGGGAUGAUAAUGACAGUACCUGGUAAAGAAACCCCGGCUAACUCCGUGCCAGCAGCCGCGGUAAUACGGAGGGGGUUAGCGUUGUUCGGAAUUACUGGGCGUAAAGCGUACGUAGGCGGAUUAGUCAGUCAGAGGUGAAAUCCCAGGGCUCAACCCUGGAACUGCCUUUGAUACUGCUAGUCUUGAGUUCGAGAGAGGUGAGUGGAAUUCCGAGUGUAGAGGUGAAAUUCGUAGAUAUUCGGAGGAACACCAGUGGCGAAGGCGGCUCACUGGCUCGAUACUGACGCUGAGGUACGAAAGUGUGGGGAGCAAACAGGAUUAGAUACCCUGGUAGUCCACACCGUAAACGAUGAAUGCCAGACGUCGGGUAGCAUGCUAUUCGGUGUCNCACCUAACGGAUUAAGCAUUCCGCCUGGGGAGUACGGUCGCAGAUUAAAACUCAAAGGAAUUGA
RNAcentral lists this ribosomal RNA (809 nucleotides) under marine sponge bacterium PLATEfluthi-(3)-8. RNAcentral's name for it is "bacterial SSU rRNA". It matches the Rfam family "Bacterial small subunit ribosomal RNA", at positions 60 to 913 of the family's 1533-position model. The record is from RNAcentral.